This 301-nucleotide ribosomal RNA is filed under the name uncultured bacterium. RNAcentral's name for it is "partial 16S ribosomal RNA". It matches the Rfam family "Bacterial small subunit ribosomal RNA", at positions 509 to 807 of the family's 1533-position model. The record is from RNAcentral.
CAGUAGCCACGGUAAAACGGUGGGGGCUAGCGUUGUUCGGAAUUACUGGGCGUAAAGCGCACGUAGGCGGCUUGGUAAGUUAGAGGUGAAAGCCCGGAGCUCAACUCCGGAAUUGCCUUUAAGACUGCCGAGCUAGUAGGUGAGAGAGGUAAGUGGAAUUCCGAGUGUAGAGGUGAAAUUCGUAGAUAUGCGGAGGAACACCGAUGGCGAAGGCAAUCCCCUGGGCCUGUACUGACGCUCAUGCACGAAAGCGUGGGGAGCAAACAGGAUUAGAUACCCGAGUAGUCCCUGUCUCUUAUAC